Molecule: transfer RNA, 74 nt
Filed under: Manacus vitellinus (golden-collared manakin)
Lineage: Eukaryota; Metazoa; Chordata; Aves; Passeriformes; Pipridae
Rfam family: tRNA
About the family: Transfer RNA (tRNA) molecules are approximately 80 nucleotides in length.
Source: Rfam by way of RNAcentral
ACUGUAUUAGUUCAAUGGGUUAGAGUGUGGCGCUAGUAAUGCCACAGUUGCAGGUUUGAUCCCUGUAUGGGUUA